This 400-nucleotide ribosomal RNA is filed under the name uncultured bacterium. Its description in RNAcentral is "bacterial SSU rRNA". It matches the Rfam family "Bacterial small subunit ribosomal RNA", at positions 137 to 518 of the family's 1533-position model. The record is from RNAcentral.
AUGGGGAUAGCUAUUAGAAAUAGUAGAUAAUACCGAAUACGAGCACAGGGGUUAGAGAUCUGUAGAGGAAAGGAGCUUAAGGGCUCCGCUAGAAGGUAAUGGCCCUGCGGCCCAUUAGCUAGUUGGUGAGGUAAGAGCCCACCAAGGCAAUGAUGGGUAUCCGGCCUUAGAGGGUGAACGGACACAUUGGGACUGAGAUACGGCCCAGACUCCUACGGGAGGCAGCAGCUAAGAAUAUUCCGCAAUGGACGAAAGUCUGACGGAGCGACGCCGCCGUGGAUGAAGAAGGCCGGAAGGUUGUAAAAUCCUUUUGAAACUGAAGAAUAAGCGUUGUAGGGAAUGACAGCGUGGUGACAGUAGGUUUUGAAUAAGCAACGGCUAAUUACGUGCCAGCCGCCGC